Molecule: unclassified non-coding RNA, 217 nt
Filed under: Hevea brasiliensis (rubber tree)
Lineage: Eukaryota; Viridiplantae; Streptophyta; Magnoliopsida; Malpighiales; Euphorbiaceae
Source: RNAcentral
ACUCCUUAAUUCUUGAUUGACAUCUCUGCCAUCCUUCUUAUUUUAAUCUUCCCCAUGUUCUUGAUCUCGCAACUUUUGAAUCCUCAUUCUUACUUCUUUGGUUACUAAAGAGAGGCCUUUCAUAUUCUUUGAUCCAAACUUUUGACAUUUGAUUGUCUAAAGCCUCUUGAUUAGCUAAUAUAUUUUCUAGCUAAUUCAGAUUUGGCUCUUUAGCCCA